AGAGUUUGAUCCUGGCUCAGGAUGAACGCUAGCUACAGGCUUAACACAUGCAAGUCGAGGGGCAGCAUGACGGAAGCUUGCUUCCGUUGAUGGCGACCGGCGCACGGGUGAGUAACGCGUAUCCAACCUGCCCUUGUCCAUCGGAUAACCCGUCGAAAGGCGGACUAACACGAUAUGCAGUCCACAGCAGGCAUCUAACGUGGACGAAAUGCGAAGGAGAAGGAUGGGGAUGCGUCUGAUUAGCUUGUUGGCGGGGUAACGGCCCACCAAGGCGACGAUCAGUAGGGGUUCUGAGAGGAAGGUCCCCCACAUUGGAACUGAGACACGGUCCAAACUCCUACGGGAGGCAGCAGUGAGGAAUAUUGGUCAAUGGGCGAGAGCCUGAACCAGCCAAGUAGCGUGCAGGAAGACGGCCCUAUGGGUUGUAAACUGCUUUUAUACGGGGAUAAAGUGGGCCACGUGUGGCUUAUUGCAGGUACCGUAUGAAUAAGGACCGGCUAAUUCCGUGCCAGCAGCCGCGGUAAUACGGAAGGUCCGGGCGUUAUCCGGAUUUAUUGGGUUUAAAGGGAGCGUAGGCCGUCUGUUAAGCGUGUUGUGAAAUGUCGGGGCUCAACCUGGGCAUUGCAGCGCGAACUGGCAGACUUGAGUGCGCAGGAAGUAGGCGGAAUUCGUCGUGUAGCGGUGAAAUGCUUAGAUAUGACGAAGAACUCCGAUUGCGAAGGCAGCCUGCUGUAGCGUAACUGACGCUGAAGCUCGAAAGCGUGGGUAUCGAACAGGAUUAGAUACCCUGGUAGUCCACGCGGUAAACGAUGGAUGCUCGCUGUUUGCGUCUGACGUAAGCGGCCAAGCGAAAGCGUUAAGCAUCCCA
RNAcentral lists this ribosomal RNA (868 nucleotides) under uncultured bacterium. RNAcentral describes it as "bacterial SSU rRNA". It matches the Rfam family "Bacterial small subunit ribosomal RNA", at positions 8 to 871 of the family's 1533-position model. The record is from RNAcentral.